GUGAAUCAUCAAAUUUUUGAACGCAUAUUGCACUCUCUGGGAUUCCGGAGCGUAUGUCUGUUUGAGGGUAAUUAAAAAGAAUCUUGUACCAAUUUUUCUUGGUCAUAGGAAAUGAGCUCUCCGCGUUUAUAGCGGUAGCUUGAAAUAAAUGGUCAAGUCUCAUUUUAGUCGAGACGCGUAAUCAUAUUAUUUCGUGAAAUCUCCAUUAUGUUACUAUCA
Molecule: unclassified non-coding RNA, 219 nt
Filed under: Ambisporaceae sp.
Lineage: Eukaryota; Fungi; Glomeromycota; Glomeromycetes; Archaeosporales; Ambisporaceae
Description: partial contains 5.8S ribosomal RNA and internal transcribed spacer 2
Rfam family: 5.8S ribosomal RNA (bases 1-71)
Source: RNAcentral